AGGGGGCAUUGCCUCAGUAACGGCGAGUGAAGCGGCAAGAGCUCAACUUUGGAAUCGCUCCGGCGAGUUGUAGUCUGGAGGUGGCCACCACGAGGUGUUCUAGCAGCAGGCAAGUCCUUUGGAACAAGGCGCCAGCGAGGGUGACAGCCCCGUACCUGCUUUUGCUAGUGCUUCCUGUGGCCCACCGACGAGUCGAGUUGUUUGGGAAUGCAGCUCUAAGUGGGUGGUAAAUUCCAUCUAAGGCUAAAUAUUGGCGAGAGACCGAUAGCGAACAAGUACAGUGAUGGAAAGAUGAAAAGCACUUUGAAAAGAGAGUGAAACAGUACGUGAAAUUGUUGAAAGGGAAGGGCUUGCACCCAGACACGGUUUCGGCCGGGCCAGCAUCAAGUAGAACGGGGUUAAAAGACUUGGGGAAUGUAGCUACUUCGGUAGUGUUAUAGCCCUUGGUGAUGACCCCUGUUUUGCUUGAGGACAGCGGUCUCUAGGAUGCUGGCGCAAUGGUUGCAAGCCACCCGUCUUGAAACACGGACC
RNAcentral lists this ribosomal RNA (531 nucleotides) under Candidozyma auris. RNAcentral's name for it is "[Candida] auris partial large subunit ribosomal RNA". It matches the Rfam family "Eukaryotic large subunit ribosomal RNA", at positions 67 to 667 of the family's 3401-position model. Lineage: Eukaryota; Fungi; Ascomycota; Pichiomycetes; Serinales; Metschnikowiaceae. The record is from RNAcentral.